This 431-nucleotide ribosomal RNA is filed under the name uncultured Pseudomonas sp. RNAcentral's name for it is "bacterial SSU rRNA". It matches the Rfam family "Bacterial small subunit ribosomal RNA", at positions 954 to 1382 of the family's 1533-position model. Lineage: Bacteria; Pseudomonadati; Pseudomonadota; Gammaproteobacteria; Pseudomonadales; Pseudomonadaceae. The record is from RNAcentral.
AAGCAACGCGAAGAACCUUACCAGGCCUUGACAUGCAGAGAACUUUCCAGAGAUGGAUUGGUGCCUUCGGGAACGUCUGACACAGGUGCUGCAUGGCUGUCGUCAGCUCGUGUCGUGAGAUGUUGGGUUAAGUCCCGUAACGAGCGCAACCCUUGUCCUUAGUUACCAGCACGUUAUGGUGGGCACUCUAAGGAGACUGCCGGUGACAAACCGGAGGAAGGUGGGGAGUGACGUCAAGUCAUCAUGGCCCUUACGGCCUGGGCUACACACGUGCUACAAUGGUCGGUACAAAGGGUUGCCAAGCCGCGAGGUGGAGCUAAUCCCAUAAAACCGAUCGUAGUCCGGAUCGCAGUCUGCAACUCGACUGCGUGAAGUCGGAAUCGCUAGUAAUCGUGAAUCAGAAUGUCACGGUGAAUACGUUCCCGGGCCUU